Molecule: ribosomal RNA, 371 nt
Filed under: uncultured organism
Description: bacterial SSU rRNA
Rfam family: Bacterial small subunit ribosomal RNA
Source: RNAcentral
CAGAGGUCCCAAGCGUUGUUCGGAUUCACUGGGCGUAAAGGGUGCGUAGGUGGCGGGGUAAGUUUGAUGUGAAAUCUCCGGGCUUAACCCGGAAAUGGCAUUGAAUACUAUUCUGCUCGAGUUUGGGGGGGGGACUGGAAUUCUCGGUGUAGCAGUGAAAUGCGUAGAUAUCGAGAGGAACACCAGUGGCGAAGGCGAGUCCCUGGACAACACCUGACACUGAGGCACGAAAGCUAGGGGAGCAAACAGGAUUAGAUACCCUGGUAGUCCUAGCCGUAAACGGUGCAUAUUUGCUGUAAAAGGAAUCGACCCCUUUUGUGGCGUAGCCAACGCGUUAAAUAUGCCGCCUGGGAAGUACGGUCGCAAGAUUA